CCUACGGGCGGCAGCAGUGAGGAAUAUUGGUCAAUGGACGCAAGUCUGAACCAGCCAUGCCGCGUGCAGGAAGACGGUUCUAUGAGUUGUAAACUGCUUUUGUACGAGGGUAAACGCAGAUACGUGUAUCUGUCUGACAGUAUCGUACGAAUAAGGAUCGGCUAACUCCGUGCCAGCAGCCGCGGUAAUACGGAGGAUUCCAGCGUUAUCCGGGUUUAUUGGGUUUAAAGGGUGCGUAGGCGGUGGGAUAAGUUAGAGGUGAAAUCCCGAGGCUCAACUUCGGAAUUGCCUUUGAUACUGUUUGGCUAGAGAGUAGUUGCGGUAGGCGGAAUGUAUGGUGUAGCGGUGAAAUGCUUAGAGAGCAUACAGAACACCGAUUGCGAAGGCAGCUUACCAAGCUACUUCUGACGUUGAGGCACGAAAGCGUGGGGAGCAAACAGGAUUAGAUACCCCAGUAGUC
RNAcentral lists this ribosomal RNA (460 nucleotides) under uncultured bacterium. RNAcentral describes it as "partial 16S ribosomal RNA". It matches the Rfam family "Bacterial small subunit ribosomal RNA", at positions 338 to 795 of the family's 1533-position model. The record is from RNAcentral.